GACGAACGCUGGCGGCGUGCCUAAUACAUGCAAGUCGAACGCAUUUUCUUUCACCGUAGCUUGCUACACCGAAAGAAAAUGAGUGGCGAACGGGUGAGUAACACGUGGGUAACCUGCCCAUCAGCGGGGGAUAACACUUGGAAACAGGUGCUAAUACCGCAUAAUUCCAUUUACCGCAUGGUAAAUGGAUGAAAGGCGCUUUUGCGUCACUGAUGGAUGGACCCGCGGUGCAUUAGCUAGUUGGUGGGGUAACGGCCUACCAAGGCUGCGAUGCAUAGCCGACCUGAGAGGGUGAUCGGCCACACUGGGACUGAGACACGGCCCAGACUCCUACGGGAGGCAGCAGUAGGGAAUCUUCGGCAAUGGACGCAAGUCUGACCGAGCAACGCCGCGUGAGUGAAGAAGGUUUUCGGAUCGUAAAACUCUGUUGUUAGAGAAGAACAAGGAUGAGAGUGGAAAGCUCAUCCCUUGACGGUAUCUAACCAGAAAGCCACGGCUAACUACGUG
RNAcentral lists this ribosomal RNA (507 nucleotides) under uncultured bacterium. Its description in RNAcentral is "partial 16S ribosomal RNA". It matches the Rfam family "Bacterial small subunit ribosomal RNA", at positions 28 to 507 of the family's 1533-position model. The record is from RNAcentral.